Molecule: ribosomal RNA, 207 nt
Filed under: uncultured bacterium
Lineage: Bacteria
Description: partial 16S ribosomal RNA
Rfam family: Bacterial small subunit ribosomal RNA
Source: RNAcentral
CGCGUAGGCGGUUUGUUAAGUCGGAUGUGAAAUCCCCGGGCUCAACCUGGGAACUGCAUCCGAUACUGGCAGGCUAGAAUGCGGUAGAGGGAGGUAGAAUUUCCGGUGUAGCGGUGAAAUGCGUAGAGAUCGGAAGGAAUACCAGUGGCGAAGGCGGCCUCCUGGACUGACAUUGACGCUGAGGUGCGAAAGCGUGGGGAUCAAACA